Molecule: ribosomal RNA, 429 nt
Filed under: Verrucomicrobiota bacterium
Lineage: Bacteria; Pseudomonadati; Verrucomicrobiota
Description: Verrucomicrobia bacterium partial 16S ribosomal RNA
Rfam family: Bacterial small subunit ribosomal RNA
Source: RNAcentral
UAGGGAAUCUUCGGCAAUGGGGGGAACCCUGACCGAGCAACGCCGCGUGAGUGAGGAAGGUUUUCGGAUCGUAAAGCUCUGUUGUUAAGGAAGAACGAGCGUGAGAAUGGAAAGUUCAUGCUGUGACGGUACUUAACCAGAAAGGGACGGCUAACUACGUGCCAGCAGCCGCGGUAAUACGUAGGUGCCGAGCGUUGUCCGGAUUUAUUGGGCGUAAAGCGUGCGCAGGCGGUUAGAAAAGUCUGAAGUGAAAGGCAGUGGCUCAACCAUUGUAGGCUUUGGAAACUGUUUAACUUGAGUGCAGAAGGGGGGGGUGGAAUUCCAGGUGUAGCGGUGAAAUGCGUAGAUAUAUGGAGGGACACCGGGGGCGAAAGCGGCUCUCUGGUCUGUAACUGACGCUGAGGCUCGAAAGCGUGGGGAGCGAACAGG